Molecule: ribosomal RNA, 457 nt
Filed under: uncultured bacterium
Lineage: Bacteria
Description: partial 16S ribosomal RNA
Rfam family: Bacterial small subunit ribosomal RNA
Source: RNAcentral
CGUGCCUAACACAUGCAAGUCGAGCGAGAAAACUCCUUCGGGAGUGAGUACAGCGGCGAACGGGUGAGCAACGCGUGGGAAUCUACCCUUCAGUGAAGAAUACCCUUGAGAAAUCGAGGUUAAUACUGCAUACGUCCUGUAAAGGAGAAAGACGGCCUCUUUGCUGUCGUUGAAGGAUGAGCCUGCGUACUAUUAGCUAGUUGGUGGGGUAAUGGCCUACCAAGGCGACGAUCUAUAGCUGGUCUGAGAGGACGACCAGCCACACUGGGACUGAGACACGGCCCAGACUCCUACGGGAGGCAGCAGUGGGGAAUAUUGGACAAUGGGCGAAAGCCUGAUCCAGCCAUGCCGCGUGAGUGAUGAAGGCCUUCGGGUUGUAAAGCUCUUUUAGUAGGGAAGAUAAUGACGGUACCUACAGAAAAAGUCCCGGCUAACUUCGUGCCAGCCGCCGCCGUAA